This 811-nucleotide long non-coding RNA is filed under the name Triticum aestivum (bread wheat). RNAcentral describes it as "long non-coding RNA (TAES_LNC021338)". The record is from RNAcentral. Lineage: Eukaryota; Viridiplantae; Streptophyta; Magnoliopsida; Poales; Poaceae.
GCAGGGUUCUCAUAUCUAUGCUGAGAUCUCUAAAGACUGGGUAAGCAAGUUUAUGGAGAAGCUCAGGGAAGGCUGUGCUUAUGAGAUUUGUCAGUUUCUGGUGUUCCCAAAUAAGCGUUACUUUAAGGCCGUCGAUGCAGCAAACAUGAUCUGUUUCAAUAGAUUCACUACGGUCAAUCCUAAUACCGACCUGGAGGUUGCGUUCCCGUUUUGCACUAUGCACCUGUCCAACCUUAGUGUAGAUUAUUUGUAAUCAGUACUAUGCCCCAGUAUACCUGCAUAAGACUACUACCCUUUGCUAUUGUAAUUGUAAUCAGUACUAUCUAGAUGGAUGAUAGCAGGCAAUGUAUACCUGCAUAAGACUACUACCCCUUAGCUCUCUGAUUUAUGAACCUGUCCGGUGUUUAGUUUGGUAUUACGUAUGUACCUCUUCUACUUCUGCUUGUCACUAAGGUUACUUUUCUGUUUCUCUUGCUGUAUUUCUCUUGUGACAAUCCAGCUUCCUAUUUUAUAUUACAACACACGUACGUAAUGGAUACACCUGGGCUCUGCUUCUCUAUGUUGAUAUGAAGGCAUGGAACGUGUUUCUUUCGUUUUCAACAGGAGGCAACAAUCUAGGCCCAUAUAGACACAACGAAAGGCCCGUUUCUUUGUCCAGUGCCUUAUAAAGGACGAGAAGGGCUGACCUAAUAUCCUUGGCUCCCUCCAUAGAACCUGGUGGCGCAAGAGAAGUGCCCUCUAGCACGAAGCUUCGGACAGAAAGGACCUCGCCAGGAAAGGUAAAAGGCAAGUUCUUUUCACCUGCGAUCUU